Molecule: non-coding RNA, 100 nt
Filed under: Clostridium oryzae
Lineage: Bacteria; Bacillati; Bacillota; Clostridia; Eubacteriales; Clostridiaceae
Description: Azaaromatic sequence
Rfam family: azaaromatic riboswitch aptamer (yjdF RNA)
Source: Rfam by way of RNAcentral
AUGGCUUGAGAUAAAAACACGAUUCGGUUGGUAGUCCGGAUGAGGAGAAAUCCUUCAGUAACCUGCCCUCCUGGGGUUGUCCAUUCUUAAUAUGAGCUUU